UGUUUUUUUUAUUCUGUGAUUGACACUCAACUAGUGAAUUCAGACAAUCCGAUCAGAGAGCGAAACAUGCAAAUCUACGAUGCUCACAAGGUCUACUUCGGGGGAGUAGUGGGCGGAGUCAGGUCUACUUCGGGGAAGAAAUGGGCGGAGUCAGGUCUACUUCAGGGAAUACGUGGGCGGAGUCAGGUCUACUUCGGGGAAGAAAUGGGCGGAGUCAGGUCUACUUCGGGGACUACGUGGGCGGAGUCAGGUCUACUUCGGGGAAGAAAUGGGCGGAGUCAGGUCUACUUCGGGGAAUACGUGGGCGGAGUCAGGUCUACUUCGGGGAAGAAGUGGGCGGAAUCCGGGGAGGAUUCAAACAAAAGAUGGCAGCAGAUAAAGAUACAAAUGAAAAUACACAAAAUAAAAUGUCAAAUAACAUUUGAAAAUAUAAAAAAAUUGAUACAGAAUAAACCAACCAUGUAAAGAUACUGUGUUAUUAAGAGUUGUACAUGAAGCAGACGUUGUUCAGUGAUAAAGCUAGCCAGCUAGAAGGUAACUCUGUUACCUCUGACAAUCAAGUGAAGUGACUUCCAUAAACUGGCAUUUUUGUGCAUCACACAGCUGCUCUGGACAAAGUGGAUUGUGAACUAUAUGGUGCGUUGCCGCUGAAUUACAGCAGCAUUUUUAUGAUUUGUUUACACUUCACACAUUAGUAAUGUUGUGAUAAAAGUAAUAAGAAACAUUGCAUCAAACAGAUUCAUUUCCUGAAUUUUGAGGCA
Long non-coding RNA from Oncorhynchus keta (chum salmon), 761 nucleotides. RefSeq lists it as uncharacterized. The record is from RefSeq and is a predicted model, not a curated record. The transcript is spliced from 3 exons. Lineage: Eukaryota; Metazoa; Chordata; Actinopteri; Salmoniformes; Salmonidae.